This 374-nucleotide ribosomal RNA is filed under the name uncultured organism. RNAcentral describes it as "partial 16S ribosomal RNA". It matches the Rfam family "Bacterial small subunit ribosomal RNA", at positions 527 to 896 of the family's 1533-position model. The record is from RNAcentral.
GUAGGUGGCAAGCGUUGUCCGGAAUUAUUGGGGCGUAAAGCGCGCGCAGGCGGUUCUUUGAGUCUGAUGUGAAAGCCCACGGGCUCAACCGUGGAGGGUCAUUGGAAACUGGAGAACUUGAGUACAGAAGAGGAAAGCGGAAUUCCACGUGUAGCGGUGAAAUGCGUAGAGAUGUGGAGGAACACCAGUGGCGAAGGCGGCUUUCUGGUCUGUAACUGACGCUGAGGCGCGAAAGCGUGGGGAGCAAACAGGAUUAGAUACCCUGGUAGUCCACGCCGUAAACGAUGAGUGCUAAGUGUUAGGGGGGUUUCCGCCCCUUAGUGCUGCAGCUAACGCAUUAAGCACUCCGCCUGGGGAGUACGGCCGCAAGGCUG